This 71-nucleotide transfer RNA is filed under the name Marmota monax (woodchuck). It matches the Rfam family "tRNA". Rfam says of the family: Transfer RNA (tRNA) molecules are approximately 80 nucleotides in length. Their secondary structure includes four short double-helical elements and three loops (D, anti-codon, and T loops). Lineage: Eukaryota; Metazoa; Chordata; Mammalia; Rodentia; Sciuridae. The record is from Rfam by way of RNAcentral.
GGGGUUGUGGCUCAAUGGUAGAGCACUUGCCUAGCAUGUGUGAGGCGCUGGGUUCAAUCCUCAGUACCCCA